Molecule: ribosomal RNA, 454 nt
Filed under: uncultured bacterium
Lineage: Bacteria
Description: bacterial SSU rRNA
Rfam family: Bacterial small subunit ribosomal RNA
Source: RNAcentral
UACGGAAGGCAGCAGUGGGGAAUAUUGCACAAUGGGCGCAAGCCUGAUGCAGCCAUGCCGCGUGUAUGAAGAAGGCCUUCGGGUUGUAAAGUACUUUCAGCGGGGAGGAAGGCGAUGUGGUUAAUAACCGCGUCGAUUGACGUUACCCGCAGAAGAAGCACCGGCUAACUCCGUGCCAGCAGCCGCGGUAAUACGGAGGGUGCAAGCGUUAAUCGGAAUUACUGGGCGUAAAGCGCACGCAGGCGGUCUGUUAAGUCAGAUGUGAAAUCCCCGGGCUUAACCUGGGAACUGCAUUUGAAACUGGCAGGCUUGAGUCUCGUAGAGGGGGUAGAAUUCCAGGUGUAGCGGUGAAAUGCGUAGAGAUCUGGAGGAAUACCGGUGGCGAAGGCGGGCCCCUGGACGAAGACUGACGCUCAGGUGCGAAAGCGUGGGGAGCAAAACAGGAUUAGAUACC